This 463-nucleotide ribosomal RNA is filed under the name uncultured bacterium. RNAcentral describes it as "partial 16S ribosomal RNA". It matches the Rfam family "Bacterial small subunit ribosomal RNA", at positions 28 to 507 of the family's 1533-position model. The record is from RNAcentral.
GACGAACGCUGGCGGCGUGCUUAACACAUGCAAGUCGAACGGUGAACCUCUUCGGAGGGGAUCAGUGGCGAACGGGUGAGUAACACGUGGGCAACCUGCCCCCGGCUCUGGGAUAACUCCAAGAAAUCGGGGCUAAUACCGGAUGUUCACCGCUUCCCGCAUGGGUGGUGGUGGAAAGGGUUUCCGGCUGGGGCUGGGCCCGCGGCCUAUCAGCUUGUUGGUGGGGUAGUGGCCUACCAAGGCGACGACGGGUAGCCGGCCUGAGAGGGUGACCGGCCACACUGGGACUGAGACACGGCCCAGACUCCUACGGGAGGCAGCAGUGGGGAAUAUUGCGCAGUGGGCGGGAGCCUGACGCAGCGGCGCCGCGUGGGGGAUGACGGCCUUCGGGUUGUAAACCUCUUUCAGCAGGGACGAAGCGCAAGUGACGGUACCUGAAGAAGAAGCACCGGCCAACUACGUG